RNAcentral lists this unclassified non-coding RNA (413 nucleotides) under Phylloporus bellus. Its description in RNAcentral is "sequence contains ITS1, 5.8S rRNA gene, ITS2". The stretch from base 185 to 339 matches the Rfam family "5.8S ribosomal RNA". The record is from RNAcentral. Lineage: Eukaryota; Fungi; Basidiomycota; Agaricomycetes; Boletales; Boletaceae.
GCUUGGGACAGUUGCUGGCGGAUUUGCAUCUGCAUCUGCAUGUGCACGUUCUGUCAUUCUACUUUUUCUGUCGGCCCUUUUCGAUUUCAAUUCACACCUGUGCACCCAUCGUAGGUCUUCGAAAGAAGAUCUAUGUCUUUUAUAACACUGCUUUGUAUGGCCAUAGAAUGUAAAAAUCUAUUACAACUUUCAGCAACGGAUCUCUUGGUUCUCGCAUCGAUGAAGAACGCAGCGAAUUGCGAUAAGUAAUGUGAAUUGCAGAUUUCCAGUGAAUCAUCGAAUCUUUGAACGCACCUUGCGCUCCUUGGUAUUCCGAGGAGCAUGCCUGUUUGAGUGUCAUUAAAUUCUCAACCAUGUCUUGAUCGAUUUCGAGCAACAUGGCUUGGAUUUGGGAGUUGCUGGCGACGAAAGUC